RNAcentral lists this long non-coding RNA (414 nucleotides) under Lepisosteus oculatus (spotted gar). Its description in RNAcentral is "lncRNA (ENSLOCG00000021223.1)". Lineage: Eukaryota; Metazoa; Chordata; Actinopteri; Semionotiformes; Lepisosteidae. The record is from RNAcentral.
GGGGAACUACCGAGCAUUGCUGCCAACCCACACUUCUCAUUUGGGGUUGUGAGGGAAGCUCUUUCAGAACUUCAGGAACUGCUGGAGGACAUUUGGAAAGGGGAAUCCCUCAAGAUCUCCAGGAGAGUGAACGAGGUUCCUGUCUACAGUCUGAAGACCCCAGGGCCCAGGCUCAGAGCGGAGAUUCCCCAGCGUGAGUCUGUUUUCACAGGGAAGAGACGAGCACACAGGCGCACACUCACUGCAGCACGGUCACACAACGCCUUUCAGUUCACUUGUGACCACAGGAGCAGGCCGAGGAAUGGCUCUGCGGGGGUUCGAGUGAUCUGAAUGCCAAGGGUCGUCCACGCUGUAGGAGCUCUUAGAAUCAACCAGCCAGACGGCCUCAAUGUGUAACGGACACGGACUGGAAUC